GACAGAGGUUGCAAACGUUGUUCGGAAUUACUGGGCAUAAAGCGCACGUAGGCGGUCCACUAAGUCAGGUGUGAAAUCCCCCGGCUCAACCGGGGAAUUGCGCCUGAUACUGGUGGGCUCGAGGUCGAUAGGGGUGAGCGGAACUCCAGGUGGAGCGGUGAAAUGCGUAGAUAUCUGAAGGAACACCGGUGGCGAAGGCGGCUCACUGGAUCGAAUCUGACGCUGAGGUGCGAAAGCUAGGGUAGCAAACGGG
Molecule: ribosomal RNA, 253 nt
Filed under: uncultured bacterium
Lineage: Bacteria
Description: partial 16S ribosomal RNA
Rfam family: Bacterial small subunit ribosomal RNA
Source: RNAcentral